AAAAAAAAAAUCUUACACCCCAAACUAAUAAAAAUAAAAGUCCAAAAUAAAGAAAAAAAGGAAGUUAUUACAACACGUUACAAAACACAAGCUAAAACUAAGUACAAAAACUUCUGUCAUCAUUCGUUUUGUCGCUACUCGCAAAGGGGCUGCCAUCUGGAACACGACAAAAAAGGAAGCUUCGAUUCAAAGGUAAUCAUUCAAACAUUCCU
Molecule: long non-coding RNA, 212 nt
Filed under: Linum usitatissimum (flax)
Lineage: Eukaryota; Viridiplantae; Streptophyta; Magnoliopsida; Malpighiales; Linaceae
Description: long non-coding RNA (LUSI_LNC007450)
Source: RNAcentral